This is a non-coding RNA of Acanthosepion pharaonis, 101 nucleotides long. Lineage: Eukaryota; Metazoa; Mollusca; Cephalopoda; Sepiida; Sepiidae. The record is from the annotation of a GenBank genome assembly.
ACCGUUGAAGCACCAGUUCUCGCACGAUCACCGAAGUUAAGCAACGUCGAGCCUGGUUAGUACCUAUAUGGGCGGCGGUCUAGGAAUACCGGGUGUUAUAU